RNAcentral lists this ribosomal RNA (702 nucleotides) under Lysinibacillus sp. T8. RNAcentral describes it as "bacterial SSU rRNA". It matches the Rfam family "Bacterial small subunit ribosomal RNA", at positions 64 to 747 of the family's 1533-position model. Lineage: Bacteria; Bacillati; Bacillota; Bacilli; Caryophanales; Bacillaceae. The record is from RNAcentral.
GAGCGAACAGAGAAGGAGCUUGCUCCUUUGACGUUAGCGGCGGACGGGUGAGUAACACGUGGGCAACCUACCUUAUAGUUUGGGAUAACUCCGGGAAACCGGGGCUAAUACCGAAUAAUCUAUUUUACUUCAUGGUGAAAUACUGAAAGACGGUUUCGGCUGUCGCUAUAAGAUGGGCCCGCGGCGCAUUAGCUAGUUGGUGAGGUAACGGCUCACCAAGGCGACGAUGCGUAGCCGACCUGAGAGGGUGAUCGGCCACACUGGGACUGAGACACGGCCCAGACUCCUACGGGAGGCAGCAGUAGGGAAUCUUCCACAAUGGGCGAAAGCCUGAUGGAGCAACGCCGCGUGAGUGAAGAAGGUUUUCGGAUCGUAAAACUCUGUUGUAAGGGAAGAACAAGUACAGUAGUAACUGGCUGUACCUUGACGGUACCUUAUUAGAAAGCCACGGCUAACUACGUGCCAGCAGCCGCGGUAAUACGUAGGUGGCAAGCGUUGUCCGGAAUUAUUGGGCGUAAAGCGCGCGCAGGCGGUCCUUUAAGUCUGAUGUGAAAGCCCACGGCUCAACCGUGGAGGGUCAUUGGAAACUGGGGGACUUGAGUGCAGAAGAGGAAAGUGGAAUUCCAAGUGUAGCGGUGAAAUGCGUAGAGAUUUGGAGGAACACCAGUGGCGAAGGCGACUUUCUGGUCUGUAACUGACGCU